GAUGAACGCUGGCGGCGUGCCUAAUACAUGCAAGUCGAGCGAAAAGAGGAGGAGCUAACCCCCCUGAGGAAAGCGGCGGACGGAGGAGUGACAGGGGGAGAAACGCCCGAUUAGACUGGGAUAAACACGGGAAAAAGGAGCGAAUACGGGAGAAUAUAUUGAACAGCACGAUAGCAUAGUGAAAGACGGUUGUGAAGACACUGAUAGAUGGAUCCGCGCCGCAUUAGCAAGAUGGAAAGGUAAGGGCCUACCAAGGCGACGACGAUUAGCCGACCUGAGAGCGUGAUUGGCCACACUGGCACUGAGACACGCCCCCGACUCCUACGGUAGGCAGCGGUCGGGACUCUUCCGCAAUGGGCGAGAGCCUGACGGAGCAACACCGCGUGAGUGAUGAUGGUCUUCGGAUCGUAGAGCUCUGUUAUUUUUGAAUAUCAAAUGUUUAAUUAGCUAUGCACAUCUUGACGGUACCUAAUCAGAAAGCCCCGGCUAACUACGUG
This 497-nucleotide ribosomal RNA is filed under the name uncultured bacterium. RNAcentral's name for it is "partial 16S ribosomal RNA". It matches the Rfam family "Bacterial small subunit ribosomal RNA", at positions 28 to 507 of the family's 1533-position model. The record is from RNAcentral.